GAUGAACGCUGGCGGCGUGCUUAACACAUGCAAGUCGAACGAUGAAGCCCAGCUUGCUGGGUGGAUUAGUGGCGAACGGGUGAGUAACACGUGAAUAACCUGCCCUUGACUCUGGGAUAAGCCUGGGAAACUGGGUCUAAUACUUGAUAUGACUUCUCAUCGCAUGGUGGGGGGUGGAAAGAUUGAUUGGUCUUGGAUGGACUCGCGGCCUAUCAGCUUGUUGGUGAGGUAAUGGCUCACCAAGGCGACGACGGGUAGCCGGCCUGGGAGGGUGACCGGCCACACUGGGACUGAGACACGGCCCAGACUCCUACGGGAGGCAGCAGUGGGGAAUAUUGCACAAUGGGCGCAAGCCUGAUGCAGCGACGCCGCGUGAGGGAUGACGGCCUUCGGGUUGUAAACCUCUUUCAGUAGGGAAGAAGCGAGAGUGACGGUACCUGCAGAAGAAGCGCCGGCUAACUACGUG
Molecule: ribosomal RNA, 466 nt
Filed under: uncultured bacterium
Lineage: Bacteria
Description: partial 16S ribosomal RNA
Rfam family: Bacterial small subunit ribosomal RNA
Source: RNAcentral